AACGAACGCUGGCGGCGUGCCUAAUACAUGCAAGUUGAGCGAGAAAGCCUCUUCGGAGGUGAGUAAAGCGGCGCACGGGUGAGUAACACGUGGGCAACCUACCCUUGAGUCUGGGAUAACCCGGGGAAACUCGGGCUAAUACCAGAUACGGCUGCGGGGUCUUCGGAUCCUGUGGAGAAAGAUGGCCUCUUCUUGAAAGCUAUCUCUCGAGGAUGGGCCCGCGUCCUAUUAGCAGUUGGUGAGGUAACGGCUCACCAAGGCAAAGAUGGGUAGCUGGUCUGAGAGGAUGGCCAGCCACACUGGGACUGAGACACGGCCCAGACUCCUACGGGAGGCAGCAGUGGGAAUCUUGCGCAAUGGGCGAAAGCCUGACGCAGCGACGCCGCGUGAGGGAUGACGGCCCUUCAGGUUGUAAACCUACUUUCAGCUCCGACGAAGCGAGAGUGACGGUAGGAG
This 456-nucleotide ribosomal RNA is filed under the name uncultured bacterium. RNAcentral describes it as "bacterial SSU rRNA". It matches the Rfam family "Bacterial small subunit ribosomal RNA", at positions 29 to 481 of the family's 1533-position model. The record is from RNAcentral.